UUGAACGCUGGCGGAAUGCUUUACACAUGCAAGUCGAACGGCAGCACGGGGGCAACCUUGGUGGCGAGUGGCGAACGGGUGAGUAAUGUAUCGGAACGUACCCAGUCGUGGGGGAUAACUAUCCGAAAGGAUAGCUAAUACCGCAUACGUCCUGAGGGAGAAAGCGGGGGAUCGCAAGACCUCGCGCGAUUGGAGCGGCCGAUAUCGGAUUAGCUAGUUGGUGAGGUAAAGGCUCACCAAGGCGACGAUCAGUAGCGGGUCUGAGAGGAUGAUCCGCCACACUGGAACUGAGACACGGUCCAGACUCCUACGGGAGGCAGCAGUGGGGAAUUUUGGACAAUGGGGGCAACCCUGAUCCAGCCAUUCCGCGUGAGUGAAGAAGGCCUUCGGGUUGUAAAGCUCUUUCAGCUGGAACGAAACGGUAGUCUCUAACAUAGGCUGCUAAUGACGGUACCAGCAGAAGAAGCACCGGCUAACUACGU
RNAcentral lists this ribosomal RNA (482 nucleotides) under uncultured bacterium. RNAcentral describes it as "bacterial SSU rRNA". It matches the Rfam family "Bacterial small subunit ribosomal RNA", at positions 30 to 506 of the family's 1533-position model. The record is from RNAcentral.